CCCUCGUUCUUAGUUGCCAUCAUUCAGUUGGGGACUCUAGGGAGACUGCCGGUGAUAAACCGGAGGAAGGUGGGGAUGACGUCAAGUCAUCAUGCCCCUUACGUCCUGGGCUACACACGUACUACAAUGGGUGGGACAAAGGGCAGCGAACUCGCAAGAGCCAGCUAAUCCCAUAAACCCAUCCUCAGUUCAGAUUGCUCUCUGCAACUCGAGAGCAUGAAGGAGGAAUCGCUAGUAAUCGCAGGUCAGCAUACUGCGGUGAAUACGUUCCCGGGCCUUGU
Molecule: ribosomal RNA, 281 nt
Filed under: uncultured cyanobacterium
Lineage: Bacteria; Bacillati; Cyanobacteriota
Description: partial 16S ribosomal RNA
Rfam family: Bacterial small subunit ribosomal RNA
Source: RNAcentral